RNAcentral lists this ribosomal RNA (433 nucleotides) under uncultured bacterium. RNAcentral's name for it is "partial 16S ribosomal RNA". It matches the Rfam family "Bacterial small subunit ribosomal RNA", at positions 29 to 507 of the family's 1533-position model. The record is from RNAcentral.
AACGAACGCUGGCGGCAUGCCUAACACAUGCAAGUCGAACGAGACCUUCGGGUCUAGUGGCGCACGGGUGCGUAACGCGUGGGAACCUGCCCUUAGGUUCGGAAUACCUCCCCGAAAGGGGUGCUCAUACCGGAUAAUGUCUUCGGACCAAAGAUUUAUGGCCUUUGGAUGGGCCCGCGUUGGAUUAGCUAGUUGGUAGGGUAAAAGCCUACCAAGGCGACGUUCCAUAGCUGGUCGGAGAGGAGGAUCAACCACACUGGGACUGAGACACGGACCAGACUCGUACGGGACGGAGCAGUGGGGAAUAUUGGGCGAUGGGCGAAAGUCUGAUCCAGCAGUGCGGCGUGAGUGAUGAAGGCCUUAGUGUUGUAAAGCUCUUUUACCCGGGAUGAGAAUGACAGUACCGGGAGAAUAAGCACCGGCUAACUACGUG